Molecule: non-coding RNA, 29 nt
Filed under: Rattus norvegicus (Norway rat)
Lineage: Eukaryota; Metazoa; Chordata; Mammalia; Rodentia; Muridae
Source: RNAcentral
AAGGCUGAAGACUUGUGCUCACAUGUUGC